This 2709-nucleotide long non-coding RNA is filed under the name Oryza sativa Indica Group (long-grained rice). Its description in RNAcentral is "lncRNA OsZS97_05G026010". The record is from RNAcentral. Lineage: Eukaryota; Viridiplantae; Streptophyta; Magnoliopsida; Poales; Poaceae.
ACACGUCUCUCCUCUCCUCCUCCUCCUGACCUCGCCGCCCUCACCCACCACCCGCUCCCGCCGCCGGCUUUAAUGCCUCCGGGGACAAGCCCUCUCAAGCGUCAACGACUCAUCCACUGCUCCACCCGCGUGGGCGGCGCGUACGUAGACCCUAGCCGGCCUCUACCUGCUCGCUACAGAGCUCACGUACGUACGCGCGCGCGGUGGUGGUUGGCGCGCGCGCGCGUGCGGUGAGGCGUGGUACUAGUAUUAUUUAUUCGCUCCUGCCUCCUGGGGAGGUGGAGGAUGCUGGCGAUCAUGAGCUUGCUGCUGCCGUGGGAGGAGGAGGAGGAGACGACGGAGGCGGCGCCGGUGUUUUGAUCCGUCGCGCGCGCGCGGCGAGGAAGAGGUUGGAGACGUGGAGAGGAGUGGUCGUCUCGUUUCAGAUUCUUCUGCGCAAAUUCUGGUUACAACUAGAAGUUGCAGGACGCGAGAGGGUUGAUUGGUAAGAAGAAGAAGUGCUGUCAACUUUGAGAUAAAGGCAAAAUUACGAGAAAAAAGACUUUCAAGUUCUUUUGAGGAUGAGUGACCCUGGAGAGCCUUCUAAGCAUUCCCAAUGGAUGUCACACUGGACCAAAGGAAGCAGCAGUGCAGAGCCCCAAGUUGGCAGAAGUAAUGAUUCUCCGGAGGAUGCGAAAUAUGACAUUUGCGAGGACAAUUCUGGGCCUUCAAACUUUGAGAUCAUGAAAUCUAGAUUGUUUGAAAGGCUAAUGGUAGGAAUCAGCCAAGAAAGAGCUUCGUUGGAGCAUGGACAGAAGUUAAAUUCUAACAUGAAAGUAGUGGUAAAAGAUGCUCGCCGACACGCUGUGCAAAACCAAAUUGAUCAGGGAGACGGGCCAAUUCAAAAAUCUGUGAUGCAAAAAGAUGUCUUAUAUGCUAAGGCUGUUGUAUCAAAAUCACUUUCCAUUCAGAAGCUUUCAGAGUUAUCAGUGGAUUGUCAGAAACUUGCAGGUUCAGAUGACCUGAGUUCAGAGUGGAACCAUUUUCCUAUGCUUGCAAUCAACAGAAAAAUUGACUCCAUUCUCAACCCUAAGAGGAAGUCUGCAAAGAGUACUGGACCCAAUGACGUUUUUGUGCCAAAACAAACUCUGAAGCUAAACAUGACUACAGCUAAUCUGAUGGCAUUCUCAUCUCAGGAAUAUGAGCUGCAUUCUCAUCGAACAACCGACGAGACAAUGGAUCACUGCAAACAUGCAGGAGGCAUUGUAUCUCGCCUGGAAGAUCAUGCUGGUGUCAUGUUGAAUCCUGCAGAGCAAAAAUUAAAAGGUCAAUUAUUGCCAGCAACGUCAUGUUCGUGUAGCAAGGAUGACAGUAACUCAUCUGAUAGUCUAUUAGAUGAGCAGCAUACAAGCCGCUACAUUGCAGAUUCAGAUCAGGAACCAACCUGCAGAUCUCGUGAAAAAAGGUUGAAAUCUUCAGAAAACAAUGACACGAACUGUAAAAUUGGAAGUUGCUCCCAGAAUCAGAAGUCAAGAGCACCUGGACAUCAUAAACACAAAGGUUCUGCGGGAGUCAUGUUUCGUACGUCAGUACCUGGUAAAGAAUUUGAAGCUGCUGAAAUUAAUUGUUCCGACAAAAUUAAUCAGCGACAUCUGAAUACACAGAGAAUAGUAUCUGCAGCGAAUGUCACUGGCUCCUGCAUACCUGAUCCAGCUGCAGACAUAUCUACAGUAAAUGGUAGGGGGGAGGCAGUGACCCAGCCAUCGAGCAUAUCUGGAGAUUCAACUAAACGAAAAGCUCCAUAUUUAUUUGAAAUGCUAACCAUACCUUCCAAAGCUCAAAAUAUGAAUCCUGAAGAUUCACUGCCUUCAGGAAACUCGACUGCUUUUGGAGUUCACAUGUACGGCACAAAUAUUGGCAGUCAUCUAUUUGGAGCAAAUAACAAAUCAUCAACUGAAACUGAAAUAUUAUCCGGCGACAGUCAACAUGUUUCAAAAUCCUCAGCAGGCAUCGCCUCAUUGUUGGCACAAAAGGCAAAAUCCGAGCAGCUCGCGACUCUGUACAUGAAAGGAGCAUCAGGAUGCAAUGUGAAUGAACAUCAAGGUGUUUCCUCCAAGGCAAUUGUCGCCAAUAAGCAACAAUGCUACAAUCCAAGAACAGCACGCAUGGACUUAGAUCUCAUGCAAUUCCAGUUGAGCAGAAUGAGAAACCAAGAAUCACAAGCGCGAACCGAACCAGGCGACAGAUGGCUAAAACGCCUACAGAUUGACAGCAAGGACCCUCAUCAUCUUCCUUGCUCCAAGAGGUCAAAAGCUGGAGACGGAUCCGGUCGUCCAGUCACCGGAGGAGCAAGCAGCAUGGCACCCCGUUGCGACGGGAGCAACGACGACGACGACAUUGUUGACCGUGAUCAUAAGGAGGAACAAGGAUUGGAUGAAGGGGUGGAAAUUCAAGGCGGCCGAGAAGCAUCUCCUGUUCCGGCAAAGAGUGAUGACCGGUGGAUUGGGAGAUGGUGCCAGGGUGGUGUUCCUGUGUACCAUGAAGAUGAUCAUGAUCAGAGGAAGGAAGUAACAAAGCCUGAUCUUGCCGCCGGUGACUCCGGAGGACUUGAAGGUCAGUUCCCAAGCAUCAAGGCGAUGGCGAUGAUGGGACGAGCAAUGAGCAAGGUUCGGCCGUGUCAGCAAGAGAGGAGGGGAUCCUUCAUGGUGUGGAAGGCGUAGUAGGAGAGAU